RNAcentral lists this ribosomal RNA (570 nucleotides) under Agroathelia rolfsii. RNAcentral describes it as "eukaryotic LSU rRNA". It matches the Rfam family "Eukaryotic large subunit ribosomal RNA", at positions 1 to 568 of the family's 3401-position model. Lineage: Eukaryota; Fungi; Basidiomycota; Agaricomycetes; Amylocorticiales; Amylocorticiaceae. The record is from RNAcentral.
CCAUUUGACCUCAAAUCAGGUAGGACUACCCGCUGAACUUAAGCAUAUCAAUAAGCGGAGGAAAAGAAACUAACAAGGAUUCCCCUAGUAACUGCGAGUGAAGCGGGAAAAGCUCAAAUUUAAAAUCUGGUAGUCUCUGGCUGCCCGAGUUGUAAUCUGGAGAAGUGUUUUCUGUGCUGGGCCGUGUACAAGUCUCUUGGAAUAGAGCGUCAUAGAGGGUGAGAAUCCCGUCUUUGACACGGACAUCCAGUGCUCUGUGAUGCACUCUCAAAGAGUCGAGUUGUUUGGGAAUGCAGCUCAAAAUGGGUGGUAAAUUCCAUCUAAAGCUAAAUAUUGGCAAGAGACCGAUAGCGAACAAGUACCGUGAGGGAAAGAUGAAAAGAACUUUGGAAAGAGAGUUAAACAGUACGUGAAAUUGUUGAAAGGGAAACGCUUGAAGUCAGUCGCGUCUAGCAAGGAUCAGCCUUUCUCGGAAGGUGUAUUUCUUGCUUGACGGGUCAACAUCAAUUUUGAYUACUGGAAAAAGGCCAGAGGAAGGUGGCACCUUCGGGUGUGUUAUAGCCUUUGGUC